This 312-nucleotide ribosomal RNA is filed under the name Triticum aestivum (bread wheat). RNAcentral describes it as "partial small subunit ribosomal RNA". Lineage: Eukaryota; Viridiplantae; Streptophyta; Magnoliopsida; Poales; Poaceae. The record is from RNAcentral.
AUGACAGGGAGAAUUCUGUUCCCAGAAAGAGCUAACAUUGAAUGCAAUUUAGAUGGGACAGAGGAUAACCCUAUAACGUUCUUGGAUCAUAACAGUGCAUCACCAGAGGAGUACUUUUUGGAGAAGUGGAGGACUGAAGUGGGGAGACUAUCUUUCAAAUAUAAAGUUCUAAGGAGCUUCCACGGAGCAGGGAAAGCAAGACGACUAGAGCUGAGCAAUGAAUUGUUCUUUCCUACUCUUCAUGCGGAUCAUUGGUUCGUCUUCCUCGUCGACUUGAAAGCACGACAGUUCAUAUUCCUUGACUCAAAAUAA